CCUACGGGUGGCAGCAGUGGGGAAUAUUGCACAAUGGGCGCAAGCCUGAUGCAGCCAUGCCGCGUGUGUGAAGAAGGCCUUCGGGUUGUAAAGCACUUUCAGCGGGGAGGAAGGCGGUGAGGUUAAUAACCUCAUCGAUUGACGUUACCCGCAGAAGAAGCACCGGCUAACUCCGUGCCAGCAGCCGCGGUAAUACGGAGGGUGCAAGCGUUAAUCGGAAUUACUGGGCGUAAAGCGCACGCAGGCGGUCUGUCAAGUCGGAUGUGAAAUCCCCGGGCUCAACCUGGGAACUGCAUUCGAAACUGGCAGGCUAGAGGCUUGUAGAGGGGGGUAGAAUUCCAGGGGUAGCGGUGAAAUGCGUAGAGAUCUGGAGGAAUACCGGUGGCGAAGGCGGCCCCCUGGACAAAGACUGACGCGCAGGUGCGAAAGCGUGGGGAGCAAACAGGAUUAGUACCCUGGUAGUC
This 464-nucleotide ribosomal RNA is filed under the name uncultured Klebsiella sp. RNAcentral describes it as "bacterial SSU rRNA". It matches the Rfam family "Bacterial small subunit ribosomal RNA", at positions 338 to 795 of the family's 1533-position model. The record is from RNAcentral. Lineage: Bacteria; Pseudomonadati; Pseudomonadota; Gammaproteobacteria; Enterobacterales; Enterobacteriaceae.